This 90-nucleotide transfer RNA is filed under the name Marinobacter sp. Its description in RNAcentral is "tRNA-Ser". It matches the Rfam family "tRNA". From Rfam's summary of the family: Transfer RNA (tRNA) molecules are approximately 80 nucleotides in length. Their secondary structure includes four short double-helical elements and three loops (D, anti-codon, and T loops). Further hydrogen bonds mediate the characteristic L-shaped molecular structure. tRNAs have two regions of fundamental functional importance: the anti-codon, which is responsible for specific mRNA codon recognition, and the 3' end, to which the tRNAs corresponding amino acid is attached (by aminoacyl-tRNA synthetases). tRNAs cope with the degeneracy of the genetic code in two manners: having more than one tRNA (with a specific anti-codon) for a particular amino acid; and 'wobble' base-pairing, i.e. permitting non-standard base-pairing at the 3rd anti-codon position. Lineage: Bacteria; Pseudomonadati; Pseudomonadota; Gammaproteobacteria; Pseudomonadales; Marinobacteraceae. RNAcentral also lists the same sequence under 8 other names. The record is from RNAcentral.
GGAGAGGUGGGUGAGUGGCUGAAACCAGUUCCCUGCUAAGGAACCGUACGCGAAAGCGUACCGAGGGUUCGAAUCCCUCCCUCUCCGCCA